GCCCAAAAAGGUUGUGCACAAGACUAGAAAUAUAGCUCAUAGCACUAAAUGUUCUCCCUGCAAUUCCAGUUGAACUGAAGCUCGAGAUGUUGAAGAGUUGUGAGAUCUAAAAACAUGAUGGUGGAAGGGUUAAUUAUAGUUUGUGUCACCAACUUUCAGCGUAUUCCAAAGAUUGCCCCGCCUUACAGAAUCCGGAAACGGAAUAAUAAGUCACAUCGCCAUAAUCUGCAUUAUUCAAUACUUAAAUUGCAGAAAAAAAAUCCUAAAAUAUAAGAAUCCGGCGACGUGACUCGUCAUUCUGUGGCCGGAUUCUGUAAGAUGAAGCAUAAAUCAAACUUUUUCUAAAGUUGAAGGUUGUUGAAGUGAAAACAUAAUUUGAUGACACUUUAUGGAAAAUAUUGAAAGUUGGGGACAAAAACUAUGAUCAACCCAAAUUUUUAUUACUUUUGAUGCCACGAUUUAGGAUAUACAAACUUCUGACACCUGCAAUUUGAAAGCAAUUACACCUUCAUAAAACCAAAUCUCUCAUCCAUGAUACCUAAAUACAAUAAAAAUCUGAGAUGUGCACGUGAUGAAGGUAUAUACUUAGAUUCAUCAUUUACCCUCUAAAUUCGCACGGACACACAUAAUGACAGCUAAAUAAAACAAGGUGGAGACACACAAGGCAAUUUAUUUGAGGAAAAAACUGUAUAACAACUAAUUAACUAACGACAGCUUCAUACACUUCACAUUGAACAUUGAAGGAACAUCUCUACCGUACCUUGCAUCGGAACCACGCACCGCGAAAACCCUCCUCGAAAGUCCUAGCUUCCGCCACUUGCCCAACCUUGAAAGGUAGAUUCAUCUUGAUUUUAGGGAAUUGAUUUGUGUUUAACUGUUUUCAACGACUGUUCAAAAUAAUGUUCGCUCCAAGAAAAGCAAAAGCAAUGGGAACCUAUUUAAAAUCAAAUCUUAAAUUUUAAAUUGAUUUGAAUGAAAAAC
This 981-nucleotide long non-coding RNA is filed under the name Salvia miltiorrhiza (redroot sage). RNAcentral describes it as "long non-coding RNA (SMIL_LNC010805)". Lineage: Eukaryota; Viridiplantae; Streptophyta; Magnoliopsida; Lamiales; Lamiaceae. The record is from RNAcentral.